Molecule: ribosomal RNA, 552 nt
Filed under: uncultured bacterium
Lineage: Bacteria
Description: bacterial SSU rRNA
Rfam family: Bacterial small subunit ribosomal RNA
Source: RNAcentral
AAUAGAUACCCUGGUAGUCCACGCCGUAAACGAUGAGUGCUAAGUGUUAGGGGGUUUCCGCCCCUUAGUGCUGCAGCUAACGCAUUAAGCACUCCGCCUGGGGAGUACGGUCGCAAGACUGAAACUCAAAGGAAUUGACGGGGGCCCGCACAAGCGGUGGAGCAUGUGGUUUAAUUCGAAGCAACGCGAAGAACCUUACCAGGUCUUGACAUCCCAUUGACCACUAUGGAGACAUAGUUUUCCCUUCGGGGACAACGGUGACGGGUGGUGCAUGGUUGUCGUCAGCUCGUGUCGUGAGAUGUUGGGUUAAGUCCCGCAACGAGCGCAACCCUUGUUCUUAGUUGCCAUCAUUUAGUUGGGCACUCUAAGGAGACUGCCGGUGACAAACCGGAGGAAGGUGGGGAUGACGUCAAAUCAUCAUGCCCCUUAUGACCUGGGCUACACACGUGCUACAAUGGACGGUACAAACGGUUGCCAACCCGCGAGGGGGAGCUAAUCCGAUAAAACCGUUCUCAGUUCGGAUUGUAGGCUGCAACUCGCCUACAUGAAGCC